GUUUGCACUUGUCGGGGAAGGGUGAGAACCUUCGAUUAAGGUUCGACUCGAGCGAAAGCGAGAGAACGUUGCCAACGGCAACGGCCCGUAGGGUGAG
This 97-nucleotide small RNA is filed under the name Salmonella enterica. Its description in RNAcentral is "partial RtT sRNA". It matches the Rfam family "RtT RNA", at positions 1 to 95 of the family's 130-position model. From Rfam's summary of the family: This family represents a bacterial cis-regulatory element known as RtT RNA. The exact function of RtT is unknown although it is thought that it may be involved in changing the cellular response in relation to amino acid starvation. The record is from RNAcentral. Lineage: Bacteria; Pseudomonadati; Pseudomonadota; Gammaproteobacteria; Enterobacterales; Enterobacteriaceae.